CACGUAGGGUGCGAGCGUUGUCCGGAAUUAUUGGGCGUAAAGAGCUCGUAGGCGGUGUGUCGCGUCGGCCGUGAAAACCUGCAGCUUAACUGUGGGCGUGCGGUCGAUACGGGCAUCACUGGAGUUCGGCAGGGGAGACUGGAAUCCCUGGUGUAGCGGUGAAAUGCGCAGAUAUCAGGAGGAACACCGGUGGCGAAGGCGGGUCUCUGGGCAACAACUGACGCUGAGGAGCGAAAGCGUGGGGAGCGAACAGG
This 254-nucleotide ribosomal RNA is filed under the name uncultured bacterium. Its description in RNAcentral is "partial 16S ribosomal RNA". It matches the Rfam family "Bacterial small subunit ribosomal RNA", at positions 524 to 776 of the family's 1533-position model. The record is from RNAcentral.